This 409-nucleotide ribosomal RNA is filed under the name Fusobacteriota bacterium. RNAcentral describes it as "Fusobacteria bacterium partial 16S ribosomal RNA". It matches the Rfam family "Bacterial small subunit ribosomal RNA", at positions 355 to 776 of the family's 1533-position model. Lineage: Bacteria; Fusobacteriati; Fusobacteriota. The record is from RNAcentral.
UGGGGAAUAUUGCACAAUGGGCGAAAGCCUGAUGCAGCGACGCCGCGUGAGGGAUGACGGCCUUCGGGUUGUAAACCUCUUUCAGCAGUGACGAAGCGCAAGUGACGGUACCUGCAGAAGAAGCACCGGCUAACUACGUGCCAGCAGCCGCGGUAAUACGUAGGGUGCAAGCGUUGUCCGGAAUUACUGGGCGUAAAGAGUUCGUAGGCGGUUUGUCGCGUCGUUUGUGAAAACCAGCAGCUCAACUGCUGGCUUGCAGGCGAUACGGGCAGACUUGAGUACUGCAGGGGAGACUGGAAUUCCUGGUGUAGCGGUGAAAUGCGCAGAUAUCAGGAGGAACACCGGUGGCGAAGGCGGGUCUCUGGGCAGUAACUGACGCUGAGGAACGAAAGCGUGGGUAGCGAACAGG